UUGUAUUCUAUCAUAUUCUAACCCCAAUCAACACUAGAUAAGUCAUUUAGUGGUUCAACGCAAUGAUUCCGAUUUCUUAGCCCAUUUGGGACCCAAUUUCAACAAGUCUUUCUCCACACUUCUAAACACUCUUCAUGCAUCUCUAGAACUUCCAGUCAAUCAAAUUUAUCGUAUUCUAUCAUAUUCUAAACCCAAACAACACUAGAUAAGUCAUUUAGUGGUUCAACGCAAUGUUUCCGAGUUCUUAGCCCAUUUGGGACCCAAUUUCAACGUGUUUCUCCACACUUCUAAAAACUCUUCAUGCAUCUCUAGCUCUUUUAAUCAAUCAAAUUUAUUGUAUUCUAUCAUAUUCUAACCCCAAACAACACUAGAUAAGUCAUUUCGUGGUUCAACGCAAUGUUUCCGAGUUCUUAGCCCAUUUGGGACCCAGUUUCAACAAGUCUUUCUCCACACUUCUAAACACUCUUCAUGCAUCUCUAGCACUUGUAAUCAAUCAAAUUUAUUGUAUUCUAUCAUAUUCUAACCCUAAAUAACACUAGAUAAGUCAUUUAGUACUGCAACGCAAUGUGUCCGAGUUCUUAGCCUAAUUUGGACCCAAUUUCAACAAGUCUUUCUCCACACUUUUAAACACUCAGCACGCAUCUCUAGAUCUUGUAACCAAUCAAAUUUAUUGUAUUCUAACAUAUUCUAUCCCCAAAAAACACUAGAUAAGUCAUUUAGUCGUUCAACGCAAUGUUUC
This 739-nucleotide long non-coding RNA is filed under the name Capsella rubella. RNAcentral describes it as "long non-coding RNA (CRUB_LNC000201)". Lineage: Eukaryota; Viridiplantae; Streptophyta; Magnoliopsida; Brassicales; Brassicaceae. The record is from RNAcentral.